GACGAACGCUGGCGGCGUGCUUAACACAUGCAAGUCGAACGCUGAAGCUUGGUGCUUGCACUGGGUGGAUGAGUGGCGAACGGGUGAGUAAUACGUGAGUAACCUGCCCUUGACUCUGGGAUAAGCCUGGGAAACUGGGUCUAAUACUGGAUACGACAUGUCACCGCAUGGUGGUGUGUGGAAAGGGUUUUACUGGUUUUGGAUGGGCUCACGGCCUAUCAGCUUGUUGGUGGGGUAAUGGCUCACCAAGGCGACGACGGGUAGCCGGCCUGAGAGGGUGACCGCCAACACGGGGACGGGGACACGGCCCAGACUCCUACGGGAGGCAGCGGUGGGGAAUAUUGCAAAAGGGCGGAAGCCUGAUGCAGCGACGCCGCGUGAGGGAUGACGGCCUUCGGGUUGUAAACCUCUUUCAGCACGGAAGAAGCGAAAGUGACGGUACGUGCAGAAGAAGCGCCGGCUAACUACGUG
RNAcentral lists this ribosomal RNA (471 nucleotides) under uncultured bacterium. Its description in RNAcentral is "partial 16S ribosomal RNA". It matches the Rfam family "Bacterial small subunit ribosomal RNA", at positions 28 to 507 of the family's 1533-position model. The record is from RNAcentral.